This 485-nucleotide ribosomal RNA is filed under the name uncultured bacterium. RNAcentral's name for it is "partial 16S ribosomal RNA". It matches the Rfam family "Bacterial small subunit ribosomal RNA", at positions 28 to 507 of the family's 1533-position model. The record is from RNAcentral.
AUUGAACGCUGGCGGCAUGCCUUACACAUGCAAGUCGAACGGCAGCGGGCCCUUCGGGGUGCCGGCGAGUGGCGAACGGGUGAGUAAUGCAUCGGAACGUACCCGGGAGAGGGGGAUAACCGGCCGAAAGGCUGGCUAAUACCGCAUGAACUCGGAAGAGCAAAGCGGGGGACCUUCGGGCCUCGCGCUCUCGGAGCGGCCGAUGUCCGAUUAGGCUAGUUGGUGGGGUAAAGGCCCACCAAGGCGACGAUCGGUAGCGGGUCUGAGAGGACGAUCCGCCACACUGGGACUGAGACACGGCCCAGACUCCUACGGGAGGCAGCAGUGGGGAAUCUUGGACAAUGGGCGCAAGCCUGAUCCAGCAAUGCCGCGUGGGUGAAGAAGGCCUUCGGGAUGUAAAGCCCUUUCGGCGGGGAAGAAAUCGGUCAGGCGAAUAGUCUGGCCGGAUGACGGUACCCGCAGAAGAAGCACCGGCUAACUACGUG